Molecule: non-coding RNA, 87 nt
Organism: Malus domestica (apple)
Lineage: Eukaryota; Viridiplantae; Streptophyta; Magnoliopsida; Rosales; Rosaceae
Source: Rfam
GGAGAUUUAUGUUCGCAGGAGAGAUGGCACUAAUUGUGCUACAACUACAAGCAAUUGUUGCCAUCUUUCCCGUGACCAAAAAGCUCU